This 493-nucleotide ribosomal RNA is filed under the name Tetragenococcus halophilus. RNAcentral describes it as "bacterial SSU rRNA". It matches the Rfam family "Bacterial small subunit ribosomal RNA", at positions 1050 to 1533 of the family's 1533-position model. Lineage: Bacteria; Bacillati; Bacillota; Bacilli; Lactobacillales; Enterococcaceae. The record is from RNAcentral.
UGUCGUCAGCUCGUGUCGUGAGAUGUUGGGUUAAGUCCCGUAACGAGCGCAACCCUUAUUGUUAGUUGCCAGCAUUGAGUUGGGCACUCUAGCAAGACUGCCGGUGACAAACCGGAGGAAGGCGGGGAUGACGUCAAAUCAUCAUGCCCCUUAUGACCUGGGCUACACACGUGCUACAAUGGGAAGUACAACGAGCAAGCCAAGCCGCAAGGCCUAGCGAAUCUCUGAAAGCUUCUCUCAGUUCGGAUUGCAGGCUGCAACUCGCCUGCAUGAAGCCGGAAUCGCUAGUAAUCGCGGAUCAGCAUGCCGCGGUGAAUCCGUUCCCGGGCCUUGUACACACCGCCCGUCACACCACGAGAGUUUGUAACACCCAAAGUCGGUGCGGCAACCCUUAGGGGAGCCAGCCGCCUAAGGUGGGACGAAUGAUUGGGGUGAAGUCGUAACAAGGUAGCCGUAUCGGAAGGUGCGGCUGGAUCACCUCCUUUCUAAGGAA